CCUACGGGUGGCAGCAGUGAGGAAUAUUGGUCAAUGGGCGCGAUCCUGAACCAGCCAAGCCGCGUGAGGGAAGACGGCCCUAUGGGUUGUAAACCUCUUUUGUCGGGGAACAAAACUCGGGACGAGUCCCGGACUGCGUGUAUCCGACGAAAAAACAUCGGCUAACUCCGUGCCAGCAGCCGCGGUAAUACGGAGGAUGCGAGCGUUAUACGGAUUUAUUGGGUUUAAAGGGUGCGUAGGCGGUCUGUUAAGUCAGUGGUAAAAUGGCGGGGCUCAACCCCGGCGAGCCGUUGAAACUGGCAGACUUGAGUUGGCGAGAAGUACGCGGAAUGCGUGGUGUAGCGGUGAAAUGCAUAGAGAUCGCGUAGAACUCCGAUUGCGAAGGCAGCGUACCGG
RNAcentral lists this ribosomal RNA (396 nucleotides) under uncultured bacterium. RNAcentral's name for it is "partial 16S ribosomal RNA". It matches the Rfam family "Bacterial small subunit ribosomal RNA", at positions 338 to 732 of the family's 1533-position model. The record is from RNAcentral.